Molecule: long non-coding RNA, 729 nt
Organism: Protopterus annectens (West African lungfish)
Lineage: Eukaryota; Metazoa; Chordata; Ceratodontiformes; Protopteridae
Exons: 5
Source: RefSeq, a predicted model, not a curated record
ACAAGUGAUAUCACAAAGAAAGACUGACUAAAUUUUAACUACCCCUCUAACGGGACCCAGCUAAAACACAUAACAGAAGCUUGGCCCUCCUUGAAGACCUGAACUGCCCAAACUAAUCCUAUUUACCAGACUUUGUUUGGGAAACAAGUGAUAUCACAAAGAAAGACUGACUAAAUUUUAACUACCCCUCUAACGGGACCCAGCUAAAACACAUAACAGAAGCUUGGCCCUCCUUGAAGACCUGAACUGCCCAAACUAAUCCUAUUUACCAGACUUUGUUUGGGAAACAAGUGAUAUCACAAAGAAAGACUGACUAAAUUUUAACUACCCCUCUAACGGGACCCAGCUAAAACACAUAACAGAAGCUUGGCCCUCCUUGAAGACCUGAACUGCCCAAACUAAUCCUAUUUACCAGACUUUGUUUGGGAAACAAGUGAUAUCACAAAGAAAGACUGACUAAAUUUUAACUACCCCUCUAACGGGACCCAGCUAAAACACAUAACAGAAGCUUGGCCCUCCUUGAAGACCUGAACUGCCCAAACUAAUCCUAUUUACCAGACUUUGUUUGGGAAACAAGUGAUAUCACAAAGAAAGACUGACUAAGUAUGUUUUAACUAUAUAUAUGUCCCUGUAUAUUUGAAGUGUGUUCCUAGCCUAACUACCUGCCCAGGCCUACCAGCAGCCAGCAACUCUCCCUAUAUCUUACUGCCCAGACCCUUACUCCUACUC